RNAcentral lists this ribosomal RNA (631 nucleotides) under uncultured Bradyrhizobium sp. RNAcentral's name for it is "bacterial SSU rRNA". It matches the Rfam family "Bacterial small subunit ribosomal RNA", at positions 8 to 681 of the family's 1533-position model. Lineage: Bacteria; Pseudomonadati; Pseudomonadota; Alphaproteobacteria; Hyphomicrobiales; Nitrobacteraceae. The record is from RNAcentral.
AGAGUUUGAUCCUGGCUCAGAGCGAACGCUGGCGGCAGGCUUAACACAUGCAAGUCGAGCGGGCGUAGCAAUACGUCAGCGGCAGACGGGUGAGUAACGCGUGGGAACGUACCUUUUGGUUCGGAACAACACAGGGAAACUUGUGCUAAUACCGGAUAAGCCCUUACGGGGAAAGAUUUAUCGCCGAAAGAUCGGCCCGCGUCUGAUUAGCUAGUUGGUAGGGUAAUGGCCUACCAAGGCGACGAUCAGUAGCUGGUCUGAGAGGAUGAUCAGCCACAUUGGGACUGAGACACGGCCCAAACUCCUACGGGAGGCAGCAGUGGGGAAUAUUGGACAAUGGGGGCAACCCUGAUCCAGCCAUGCCGCGUGAGUGAUGAAGGCCCUAGGGUUGUAAAGCUCUUUUGUGCGGGAAGAUAAUGACGGUACCGCAAGAAUAAGCCCCGACUAACUUCGUGCCAGCAGCCGCGGUAAUACGAAGGGGGCUAGCGUUGCUCGGAAUCACUGGGCGUAAAGGGUGCGUAGGCGGGUUUUUAAGUCAGGGGUGAAAUCCUGGAGCUCAACUCCAGAACUGCCUUUGAUACUGAAGAUCUUUGAGUCCGGGAGAGGUGAGUGGAACUGCCAAGUGUANAGG